RNAcentral lists this ribosomal RNA (229 nucleotides) under uncultured bacterium. Its description in RNAcentral is "partial 16S ribosomal RNA". It matches the Rfam family "Bacterial small subunit ribosomal RNA", at positions 568 to 796 of the family's 1533-position model. The record is from RNAcentral.
CGUGUAGGCGGUUUAGCAAGUCAGAUGUGAAAGCCCUGGGCUUAACCCGGGAAGUGCAUUUGAAACUGCUUUACUUGAGUAUGGGAGAGGAGAGUGGAAUUCCUGGUGUAGAGGUGAAAUUCGUAGAUAUCAGGAGGAACAUCUGUGGCGAAGGCGACUCUCUGGACCAAUACUGACGCUGAGACGCGAAAGCGUGGGUAGCAAACAGGAUUAGAUACCCUGGUAGUCC